GGCUCGGGAGUGGACCUGUGGGAGGGUUCGCAUGAAUUGGGCCAAACCCUGUUUCGCAAGCGGCGCGGUGCCAGAUGCCCAACUGCGCCGCC
Molecule: non-coding RNA, 92 nt
Filed under: unclassified sequences
Description: Rhodo-rpoB RNA
Rfam family: Rhodo-rpoB RNA
Source: RNAcentral